GAUGAACGCUGGCGGCGUGCCUAACACAUGCAAGUCGAACGAAGCACCUUACCUGAUUCUUCGGAUGAAAGUUUGGUGACUGAGUGGCGGACGGGUGAGUAACGCGUGGGUAACCUGCCCUGUACAGGGGGAUAACAGCUGGAAACGGCUGCUAAUACCGCAUAAGCGCACGAGGAGACAUCUCCUUGUGUGAAAAACUCCGGUGGUACAGGAUGGGCCCGCGUCUGAUUAGCUGGUUGGCAGGGUAACGGCCUACCAAGGCAACGAUCAGUAGCCGGUCUGAGAGGAUGAACGGCCACAUUGGAACUGAGACACGGUCCAAACUCCUACGGGAGGCAGCAGUGGGGAAUAUUGCACAAUGGGGGAAACCCUGAUGCAGCAACGCCGCGUGAGUGAAGAAGUAUUUCGGUAUGUAAAGCUCUAUCAGCAGGGAAGAUAAUGACGGUACCUGACUAAGAAGCUCCAGCUAAAUACGUG
RNAcentral lists this ribosomal RNA (477 nucleotides) under uncultured bacterium. RNAcentral's name for it is "partial 16S ribosomal RNA". It matches the Rfam family "Bacterial small subunit ribosomal RNA", at positions 28 to 507 of the family's 1533-position model. The record is from RNAcentral.